Molecule: ribosomal RNA, 465 nt
Filed under: uncultured bacterium
Lineage: Bacteria
Description: partial 16S ribosomal RNA
Rfam family: Bacterial small subunit ribosomal RNA
Source: RNAcentral
GACGAACGCUGGCGGCGUGCUUAACACAUGCAAGUCGUACGGUAAGGCCCUUUCGGGGGUACACGAGUGGCGAACGGGUGAGUAACACGUGAGUAACCUGCCCACAACUUUGGGAUAACGCUAGGAAACUGGUGCUAAUACUGGAUAUGUGCUCCUGCUGCAUGGUGGGGGUUGGAAAGCUCCGGCGGUUGUGGAUGGACUCGCGGCCUAUCAGCUUGUUGGUGGGGUAGUGGCCUACCAAGGCGGCGACGGGUAGCCGGCCUGAGAGGGUGACCGGCCACAUUGGGACUGAGAUACGGCCCAGACUCCUACGGGAGGCAGCGGUGGGGAAUAUUGCACAAGGGGCGCAAGCCUGAUGCAGCAACGCCGCGUGCGGGAUGACGGCCUUCGGGUUGUAAACCGCUUUCAGCAGGGACGAAGCUUUUUGUGACGGUACCUGCAGAAGAAGCACCGGCUAACUACGUG